This is an RNA transcript of Caretta caretta (loggerhead turtle), 3676 nucleotides long. It is a transcript of the gene named dynein axonemal intermediate chain 4, with no coding region annotated. NCBI's taxonomy places the organism in Eukaryota, Metazoa, Chordata, Testudines, Cheloniidae. The record is from RefSeq and is a predicted model, not a curated record.
GUUACCGUGUAAACACGCUCCCUCUGGGCUAUGCGGAGGAGCGCGCUGGGCCGCUUGGGACCGGAGCUGAAUUGAGAGCCGCCCCCUCCCGCCAACACCAUGUCCUCCUCCACCCGGGCCGGCAAGGGCAAGAAGCAUAGCGUCGUCGUCAGCGUGACAUCAAAGCUGGAGUUAAAUAUGAAGAGGGCAUCUAUUUCAGGAACUAGCAACCAAAAACAAAUGAGCUAUGUUAGUGGUUUCAGCCCAAGCAGAGUUGGAUCACUGAGUCGAAGAAGCAUACUGAUAGCUUCUGAUGGCAAAACUAUGGAUAAGGGGUCUCUCAUAGGGAGUAAGCAUACCAUUCAGGUUUUUGAUGAGCAAGGGAAGGAUGUAACACCCCGUCCACUCUAUCGUCCAGAACCAAGUGCUUCGCUACACAGACAAAGCAAAAUCUUAUCAACCCAGGAUUUCUCUGGGGCUACUGGAUCUGAUUUUCUGUCUUCCUUAUCCAUGCAUCAGACAUCUGGAGUUAAUGCUAGUUUAGUAGGUCCAUUCUCAAGGACAUAUGGAAGCAGCAGUAUUUCUAAAUCAACCACAUCUACAACUGAGUCUAUGGCAGAUGAAAUAGUAGAGCCUGGUUCCAGACGAGACACAGCUACUAGCUUAUCUGAUGUACAGGUGAGGCGAGAUGAGAUAAAAGAACAACUGACAAAAGAAGACAUUGAUAAGAGAGUGGAUAUUUACCUCAUGGAGACAGAAACUAUCUGGCUAUUGGACAUGCCAACUGUCAUGGUGUCCAUUGAAUCUGAAGAUGCUGAAAAAGUGCAGGAACAGAACAAGGAUUAUAUUGAGCUUUGUAAAAAUAGAGUUGGUAAUGAUCGCUUUGUGGAAAGGAUGAUGCAAACUCUUAAUGGAGCACCAAAGAAUAAAGAAGUACAAUGUGACAAAAUCCUCAUGGAGGAUAAAGGGAUAAUGGCCACUUCUUGGGACUUGUAUGAUUCCUUUUAUGCCUUGGAAACAACGCUUACACCUUCAGUAACUGAAAGAAGUAGCAGACCAACAAGUUUGACUAGCAGUAAAUCUAACGUGACCAAAGACCGUGAACGAACCAUGUCUACAACUUCUACAGAUAGAGAGAGCAUAACCUCAAGUUCUAUAAUCGAUUUGGAAAGUGUUAUUCUUGCCAGAAUCCACAAAGAAGAGGAAGACCAUUCUGAAGCUAUAUUAAAAUCAGAAAAAUUUCAGCAGGAUUUAUUUUUUAUGGAAAGGGUUCUAAUGGAGAAUGUUUUUCAGCCCAAACUUGCAGCUUAUCGGCAACUUCCUGUUCUUAUAGAACCAGUUCUUACAUCUGAUGCUGGCAAAGAGGAAGCAGAAACAGAGGAAGCAGAAGAGGAGGAGCAGGAGGAGGAGGAAGGAGCGGGGGAGGAAGAGGAGGAAGAGCAAAAGGAAACAGUAGUUAGUUCAUCAAUUUUGUUAGAUCUGAGCGAAGCACCAGAAGAAAUCUUACCGCCCAGUCUGGAACGACUGUGGUCCUAUACAUGUGAAUCAACUAAUGGCCACAGUGUGAGCAGCAUGGCUUGGAACAAGCUAAAUCCAGAUCUUUUGGCUGUUGGUUAUGGGCAAUUUGGUUUUCAAGAACAGAAGAAAGGCUUGGCUUGCUGCUGGUCACUCAAGAACCCUAUGUGGCCAGAGCGUAUUUAUCAAUGUGAUCAUGGUGUUACUGCAUUGGAUUUCUCUCUGGCAAACCCAAACCUUUUAGCAGUUGGAAUGUACAGUGGCACAGUAGCCAUCUAUAAUGUACAGACCCGUAAUACCACAGCACUUUUGGACAGCAGUGAAUCUUUUGAUAAGCAUAUAGGUCCUGUGUGGCAGCUGAAGUGGAUCGAACAGGACAGGGGCACAACGGGAGAUGACAAAGGAGAGAUAUUAAUCUCUAUCUCAGCAGAUGGCAGAAUAACCAAGUGGCUUAUACGCAAAGGACUAGGCUGCACUGAUCUGAUGAAACUGAAGCGAACCGCAAGUGAAAGGAAAAAACUAACCGGUGAAAAAGAAAAGAAAAGUGAAGCUCUGAUAUCUCGACAGGCACCUGGAAUGUGCUUUGACUUUCAUCCAAGGAAUACUAAUAUAUAUCUGGCUGGAACAGAAGAAGGACAUAUUCACAAAUGUUCUUGUUCAUAUAAUGAGCAGUUCCUAGAGACCUACCGAGGUCAUAAGGGUCCUGUGUACAAGAUAGCAUGGAAUCCAUUCAGUACUGACAUGUUUUUAAGCUGCUCUGCGGACUGGAGUAUUAUUUUAUGGCGCCAAGAUUCACUAAGGCCCAUUUUAACUUUCAGUUCCACCACUGAUGUUGUUCAUGACAUUAUGUGGUCUCCAAAAUCAGCCUUUGUAUUUGCAGCAGUGAAUGAAGGCAGAGUGGAAAUUUGGGACCUGAGUGUCAGCACUUUGGACCCCCUGAUUGUGACUUUUGCCAACCCGGGAGUGAAAUUCACAACUGUGCUUUUUGCUAGAAACACAGACUGCAUUCUUAUAGGGGACAAUAAUGGAAUCGUAGGUGUGUAUGAGCUGAGGAACAUGACUGCUUCAGAUAGUAAUAAGACGAGCUCAUCAGCACAGGUGACCAUGCAGUCCCAGAAUCGAAAAAGAGCUCCAGCAUGGACCGAAUGGGAGGUACUGGAUCUGAUCGCUGUAUGGGGAGAGGAAUCCGUGCUAUCGGAACUAUGUUCCAAAAGACGAAAUGCCAAAACAUUUCAAAAAAAUCUCCGAGGCCAUGAGGGACAGAGGCUACAGCAGGGACGCAACACAGUGCCGCGUGAAACUUAAGGAGCUCAGACAAGCGUACCAGAAAACCAAAGAAUCAAACGGACGCUCCGGGACAGAGCCCCAGACAUGCCGCUUCUAUGCUGAGCUGCAUGCAAUUCUAGGGGGAGCCACCACCACUACCCCACCUCUGUCUGUGGACUCCAAUGAUGGGGUACUCUCCCCCAUGCCUGAGGAUUUUGCGGACGGGGAAGAUGAGGAGGAGGAGGACGAGCUUGAGGAGAGCACACAGCACACCAUUCUCCCUGACAGCCAGGAUCUUUUUAUCACCCUGACUGACAUUCCCAAUCCAACGCAGGCGGAGAAGGGACCUCUGCAGCUGCAAAUGUUUCAAGCCUCCCUCCUCCGUCCCAAAGGCUAUCUCAGAUAAGGUGGUGAAAAAAAAUGCACGCGCGAUGAAAUGUUCUCUGAGCUCAUGCAGUCGUCCGGCACUGCAGAGCUCAGCAGAAUGUGUGGAGGGACAAAAUAGCAGAGUACAGGAAAGUGGCCGAUGAACGUGAGGAGAGGUGGCAGCAGGAAGAUCAGAGGAGGCAUGAGGCAACGCUGGGGGCUACUGCGGGAUCAAACGGACAUGCUCCGCCAUCUGGUGGAGGUUCAGAAUGGCAGCAGGAUCACAGAGUGCCGCUGCAGCCCCUGUUUAACUGCCUUCCCUCCUCGCCAAGUUCCAUAGCCUCCUCACCCAGAUGCCCAAGAACGUGUGGGGGAGGCUCUGGGCACCCAACCACGCCACCCCAGUGGACAGCCCAAGCAACAGAAGGCUGUCAUUCAAGAAGUUUUAAAGUGGCCUUUUCCUUCCCUCCUCCCACACCCCACCCGGGCUACCUUUUGAGUUAUCUCCCUAUUUUUAUAAUCAAUUAAUAAAGAAUACAUGUUUUUUUAA